UCCGGUUUGUCACCGGCAGUCUCAUUAGAGUGCCCUUUCGUAGCAACUAAUGACAAGGGUUGCGCUCGUUGCGGGACUUAACCCAACAUCUCACGACACGAGCUGACGACAGCCAUGCAGCACCUGUGCGCCGGUUCUCUUUCGAGCACCCUCAGAUCUCUCCAAGGUUCCGACCAUGUCAAGGGUAGGUAAGGUUUUUCGCGUUGCGUCGAAUUAAUCCACAUCAUCCACCGCUUGUGCGGGUCCCCGUCAAUUCCUUUGAGUUUUAACCUUGCGGCCGUACUCCCCAGGCGGAUGACUUAACGCGUUAGCUGCGCCACCAAAGCUCCAAGAGCCCUGACAGCUAGUCAUCAUCGUUUACGGCGUGGACUAC
This 373-nucleotide unclassified non-coding RNA is filed under the name uncultured Gammaproteobacteria bacterium. Its description in RNAcentral is "contains 16S-23S intergenic spacer region". Lineage: Bacteria; Pseudomonadati; Pseudomonadota; Gammaproteobacteria. The record is from RNAcentral.